This 450-nucleotide ribosomal RNA is filed under the name uncultured bacterium. RNAcentral's name for it is "partial 16S ribosomal RNA". It matches the Rfam family "Bacterial small subunit ribosomal RNA", at positions 354 to 796 of the family's 1533-position model. The record is from RNAcentral.
GUGGGGAAUAUUGGACAAUGGGCGAAAGCCUGAUCCAGCCAUGCCGCGUGUGUGAAGAAGGUCUUCGGAUUGUAAAGCACUUUAAGUUGGGAGGAAGGGCAGUAAGUUAAUACCUUGCUGUUUUGACGUUACCGACAGAAUAAGCACCGGCUAACUUCGUGCCAGCAGCCGCGGUAAUACGAAGGGUGCAAGCGUUAAUCGGAAUUACUGGGCGUAAAGCGAGCGUAGGUGGUUUUGUAAGUUGGAGGUGAAAUCCCCGGGCUCAACCUGGGAACUGCCUCCAAAACUGCAUGACUAGAGUACGGUAGAGGGUAGUGGAAUUUCCUGUGUAGCGGUGAAAUGCGUAGAUAUAGGAAGGAACACCAGUGGCGAAGGCGACUACCUGGACUGAUACUGACACUGAGGUGCGAAAGCGUGGGGAGCAAACAGGAUUAGAUACCCCGGUAGUCC